RNAcentral lists this long non-coding RNA (9652 nucleotides) under Ananas comosus (pineapple). RNAcentral's name for it is "long non-coding RNA (ACOM_LNC035739)". The record is from RNAcentral. Lineage: Eukaryota; Viridiplantae; Streptophyta; Magnoliopsida; Poales; Bromeliaceae.
UCGCGGCGCCGCCGACAGAUCGCCGAACGGACAGGGUUUCCCCUGUACCGGACAGAGUCUCCCCUGUACGUUCAAGGCAUAGCAAUCAAUACAAUGUGCGAAGUUCCAACCAGGAACACAUUGCAAUCAAGGAUUGCAUAAUGGAAGGUAUCAAACAACAUAACACAUUCUAUGUUAUUACAUGCAUUCAUAUUCAUCCAUUUUUACAUCACAAAUCUCAUUAGAUUCCAACAUUAGCUUUCACUUAACUUCCAAAUACAAUCCAAUUUAACAUGAUUAUUACAAUCUUAUUCCAUUCAUUUUCUUACAUCUUUAAGAAAAGCCGACUCAGGGUACCGCUAUCUCUGGUCUCGGUGGUAGGGCGCUAACUAUGGAGUUACGCCCUCGCCUCGCGCCGCCGCGCCGCUCACCGUGUGUGAACUGUAACACCUCAAAACCACGUGGGGUGAGAACCAACUCCAUGGUUUCCAGUGGGUACGGCCGACCCAAGGAAAAGCUCGACCAAUAGGUCCAAGGGAGGCAACUGCAAGUUAGUUCAAUAAACAGAUAGAUAAAAUCUUUAUUAUGCAACUAAUAAACCCAUGCUUUGCCUCACGAAUGCAAUAAUGCCAUGCUAUAUACGAAUCAUGCAAACAUACAAGUAGAAUAAAUGAUUUUACUUUGUAUAAUGCUAUCCAUAGCUUUUUCAUAAUUUAUACAUCUUAUCACUUUACAUCAUUGGUUAUUUGCUCCUAAGGUUUUCCUCUACCCUACCAAGCUAAUCACCCGACUCGGUCUCGAGUCAAUCAACUGCGGAAUACCGCACCAAAACUAGGCUCGAGGUGAUGGACGUCUCACAUACACCUCAGCCAUAAAUCCUCUCACUGGAUACCAAACCGUACACAUAAUGCUAUACAUUCACUUGGCUUGACCCAAUCUUACCGUUAACCAUGUUAACCCAAAUGACUCACAACCCAAAAUCCCUUAAUAACGGGGGACUCGAACCUCCCUAGGGACCGUUUCUGGGGGACUUUACCACGCCGAGUGUGACCAACUCCGGAGCGCACCGCCCGAGGGGGACUACCUCCCUCAAGCCAAGACUUAUCGUAAGUACGAUCAAUCCUCAACUUGAGGAUUCAUAGCCACUAGUCACAAUGCCAAUGUCGCAAUAGGUUUCUACCUUUUAAUCAUGCUACUCUAUGUCAAAUGGUCCAAUGCCACUCUUGGUUAAACUAUGUUUAACAACUAUUUCCUCUAUGCAUAUCAAUGUCUCUAUUGUCAAUGUUGCCUUUGUUUACUAAUGUCCAAGUCCAACUCUCACAUUCACACAAUAAUAGGGUUUAACAUACAUGUCCAUUAUGGUUCGAUCUUUCUCUAUGUUCAACUACGUUAGAAACAUGUCAUUGAAAGUAACCAAGGUUCACAUGUACUAGCCUAUUAUGUAUGAAUGAUACAAAUAUAUAUGCUCAAUGCCACAAGUGUUUGCUAGGUUAUAAACACUAGGUUCACACUACACUUGUUCACCUAUGUUCAAUACACUAGGUUUAAUGCCACUUGAUGUCCAACCUAUGUUCUUUGGCACUAGAUUCAUAUCCUCUAUGUCCAACCUAUGUCCAUGACUCUAGGUUUAAUGCCACUCGAUCUAAUGUAUAUAAGAUUGUCCAUAUGCACAUUCCAUUUCUUAACUUAGUAUCUGUACAACAUGAUCAUCAGUAUAUCUUAGCAUUAGCAACAUGCUUGUAUUUAUUAUUUCUACAUCAUGCUUAUCAUACCAUUACUUAGCAUUACUCAAUGCAUUCAUCUAGCACUAUUUACACUAAGUCAUCAUGCAUUCCUCUUAUCAUGUUCUUAUAAUGUUAACAUUCAUAUGCCCUUUAUCUAUGCAUUCAAAGCAUUAAUCACAUACAUUUAUCUAGCAUUUCUAUAAUAUGUUAACAUGCAUCAAUAUGAAAUCUCAUUUCCUAUACAUAAAGGGCGACCUAGGUCGCUUCGGUAAACACAACCCACCUCAUUUCGCGUUCCGAUUGCUUGUCGACACUUGCAAUCGCCGCCCCGGCGACCCGCACUCGGUUUGGCCCGAUCUCUUGCACGACACCCGAACGGCUCCAAUUCACGAUCCGAAAAUUAAAGUAUUCGUUAUGUGCCACGAUGCUUCAAAUCCAUUUUCAUGAAUUUACGAUAUCGCCUCGGCCCUCCAGGCGAAAACGAAGCGCUAAACAUCCAUUUCUUUAAUAACUUCGCAAUGGCUCGACGAAUCGCCGAACGUCUUCCGCCAACGCGUUCGUUUACCUACAUUAGGUUUACGGAGGGUUAAAUGAGAUCAAACCCUCAUAUUUUACAAAAUCCCAUUUUCUAAGCCUAAUAUGAAUAAUCUCCAAAUAAUCCAAAUUAAAUGGAGCAAACAUGUUUAGAAUGCUCAUUAGAGCUAUUAGAACACUUAAGACUAAGGGAUUAAGCCAAUCCUAAAGCUUACCUCAAUGUGAACGCCGCGACGAAAACACACCGCUCAACGGGCCGCACUGAAAGCUCAAUCUCGUCGCCUCCAACGCGUUCGCGAGCAUCUUCUCCACCAACCCCGCGAAUUUGAGAGAGAGAUAUGGAGAGAUGAGAGAGAAAUCUAGAGAGAGGAAUGAAGGUUUCUCUCACUAGCACCAUGCGUGCGUGUGUGUGGGUGCUCGGCUGAAGGAGAGGAAGAAGAAGCUUCAGCUUCUUUAUAAUACACCCGACACUAUCCGUCCCGUGAAGCUCAUUAUAAUACACCUGACACUAUUCACCUCCCGGGCAGCAUGAAAUCUGAUAACUUUCAGCCGGAGCUCCCUGAAUGUCCGUUUGGAGCUCAAACUUGAGAGUCAUGUUCGGUUUUACUUAACUUAACAAGCCUGACGAUCACGUGUCAGUUUCGACCCCCGUUGGUCACUGAAAACUGUACCGAACUGCAAUCUUAUCAGAUAGCUUUCGGAUUUUAUUUCUCACUCUUGGGUGUCAGAAAAUAUGAAAAUUUUAAAUCUACCUCAUAAAAAUAUUUCUGACCAUCUCUGCAAUUUUCAUAAUUUUCUGAGACUGUGCAUUUCUGCUAAUUUAUACUGCCCGUUUUCCACAGAAAAUUCAUAAAUCUUCUGUUUUAAUUCCGAUUUCAGCAAAAGUCACUUCUGACUUAUGUUUUCUUCUAUAAAUCCAAUAAAAUAGUUUCCACACACUAUUUUAUUUAUUUUUAUUUUAUUACCAAAAUCUGGUAUGUUACAUUCUCCACCCUAAAAAGAAUUUCGUCCGCGAAAUUCAAACAACGCCUCAAUUCAGCUCCUUGAGCAAUUGAGGGUACCCACUCAUUCUCCCACUCCAAAGCGGCUUCACACAAUCGUGGUUCCAGAAGCGGCUCAUACUGAGGACAUGGUUUUAAUCCUAAACUCAUUUGGCAAAGUGUGAUACAAACGUGCAUCACGGGUCUUGCAAGUCAUAGUGGCACGCAAGUCGUACUCGACGACUCUACGCGCUCCAACACACUCGCCACUCGGUACGCAAAGAACUCUUCUUUGCACUGGCCUUCCUUUUGGAAUAUUCAUCAAUUCGAUCAGCCGACAUUGCUUAGAAGCAAUAUCACCGGUGCACUCGUUCCGUGCGUGAGUGCUCUAAUUUGGCACUGACCCUAAACGUUAACGUGAGAUGCCUAUCUUAGCACAUCCCCAAUUCCAUCCCUCCAAGUCCACGUGGCUUUACUACUCCGCUCAAGGUCCCACCACAGAGCACUUCAUCUUCUGAUACCAUAUGCCACGGUCAACAUCGAACUACUCGCAACGAGCUCACGCGAAGUGCUUCGUUCGUAAAUUCGAGUCAAAACUCCUCGAUAAGGCCACCUGCCAAAUCGCUCUCUUCGGUCUCUCACAGGUAGACCAAAGGCACCAAUCCUAGGUAGCCUACUAACCUAAACCUGUCUCAAUACGCAGCGUCUCCUCGCCGCAAAUGCAGAGCCCAAUCAUGAUCGGGCGAAAUUCUCACUUGGAAUUCGCACACACUCCAACCAGAGCAACUUAAGAUCCCAAACCACGUCAAGUCCGCGGUGGGUCAUAACUAUACUCGGUGUACCAUCGGUCACACAGUCUAUCGCGUGGCAUUCCACGCUCCCAAGCUUAAACUCGGACGUACCGUCCUGACCAGAACUCCGCCCUACCGCGUAGUACCGGGGGCCACUGUCACCCAAGCUGACUGCACCUGCCCAAAGGGCGCAGGCUCCACAGUCCACAAAUGGUCCAGGCAACAGGUCGUCCCAAGCACUACCCGCCGUCGUCGUCCUGCACGUCCAUACUCUAACCGAGUCACCAGUCCCACGAGUGAUCCAGGUAUCGCUUCACACCUGAGCAAUGCUCAAGUGCUACUGCCAAUACCUCACAUCGGUUGAAUCCACAUCCGUACUCUACGGGUCUCUACACUCGAGCGCUCUAAUGCCUCUACAGCGUUCCACCACGAAGUCCAGCAUUAGGCAAUCUUGCCUAUACACAACGUCGGCCGCACGAGCACAACCGCCUACCUCACCUUGAGGUACUACUAGGCCCACGUGCUCAGACUUGGCCGCUAAUCGACCGUUCUCUCAACAGUGAUGCCACUUUCAUCGUUCGAUCUACCGGAAUGACAUCCGAAAUUUUCGGGCCACUCGGGUGUUCUCAUAUGCAUCAUGGCUCAACUCUCGCGAUUUACAACUUAUAUUGCUCUGAGAGUUAUUUCGACACUUCUAUCUCUACCGCGAGUCUCACUUCUCGCCAUAGAUUACUUCUAGCACUUCGCUAGUGCCAUCUGGCUCUAUACCUGUACUGGCAGGUACUACGCCCUCACAUAAUACAAAACUCCAUUUCUAGAGCAAUCAAAUCUAUCUCUAGAAAUCCACCAUGAGAGAGAGCUUAGAAGCUUACUUCUCCAAGAAGCUCUAACCAAGGAAAAAAAAUGAAGAAGAUGAGGAAGACCUCUUUCUCCUUCUCUUUCUUUCCUUUCCUUCCUUCUUCCUCUUGUCUUCUAGAGAGAGAAAGAGAGAUAUGAGAGGGUGUGUGGGUGAGGAAUAAGAGAAAAGAGCUCUCAUACCCCUCACAUAGCCCCACAUGUUGCAUAAGCGCAAACAAGCCCCUUAACUUUUAUUCCUUUACACUGCCCUGACUGGGCCAUUUUCAGGUUCGGGGACCGGUCUCCCCGACGAGGGACCGGUCUCCGAGAGCUUCUCCCCGCAGUCAGCAGAGCUCACACCCGAUGCAACCGGUCUUUCUUUGGGGGACCGGUCUCUCAGGGACCGGUCUCUCCAGCAGGGACCGGUCUCCGAGAGCUGUCCACCAAGGACUUAGCCGAUUUUUCCUCCCUUUCGCUGUCUGCGCGUGCGGGGACCGGUCUCUCCCACCAGGGACCGGUCCCCGAGAGCACAAAACCUGCAGUUUUGCAGAUUUGAUUUCCAAAGCUCUCGAAGAUUCCCAGUAAUGCACUUUUGCAUUAUUUGACGCCUUCGGCCUUUUUGAAGCGUACCAACCUCGCUAUUUGGUCAAUUUGACCAAGGUUCGAUGUUCGCUUACCGAAGUUUCGGUAUAUUACAUACCCACUCGACAACUAGCCGAUCCUGGACGAAGUCCAACUCUCGGCUCUCGAGAAUUCACUUCAUUACGACCAUGCUAUACCGGUACACCCCUGGCAUUAAAUCGGUAACACAUGUUCCAGAAUCUCGAUUUUUUUUUUUUUUUUUUUGCACCGCUUCGACUCCAAUUCGCGUCGAGCAAUGCUAAAACUAUUCUAACUCUUUUAGAACUCAAUUCUAACCUUUCCAACAUUGUUGGAAUGUUAAUUGAACUUUGCCCAACUACUUCUCUCAACGCACUUUGGUCAAUUUGACCAAAACUAAUCUAACAUGAUGAGGAUUCCGUUAAUUUCUCAAAGAUCAUGAGAGACGCCAAAACUCGCGAAGCUUCCAAUCUCCGCUCGCCUCAAAUUGCCCAGGGACACCACUUGGCCCGUCUCACGCCAAUCUAAAUGAAGAUCGCCUACGCAGUGCUAUCGCUUUCUAAAACGCGACAACUUUAUAAAUCCUCGACCUUCUAGGUCGAACACGAAACACUUAAUACCGACUCAAAUCGGGCGAAAGUCACGCAAGGGCGUCUAUUCUCAUCACUCGACUUCAUGUUGUGUGCACCCAACAUGAACACCCUCUGUUGAGAAUAAACCUCACCUUGAGUCUACCUCUAACAUCCGUUUUAGAGGUUUAUGACACAACCCAAUCAAUUAACCUUUCGCCAAAAGAAACAAGUCCUCGUCUCUCACGAGCCUUAAUCUCCUAUGGUUUACUAUCCUAGGGUCUCCUAGGUCCAACUAAACCAUUUUCUAUUAUUCUUUUAUGUUCUCUUUAUGCUUCUUUUAUUCUCUGAUACCAUCUUAUCUGUCACGCCCCGCGACCGCCCGCCUAUUUGGCCGCGUCGCGGCGCCGCCGACAGAUCGCCGAACGGACAGGGUUUCCCCUGUACCGCGGACAGAGUCUCCCCUGUACGUUCAAGGCAUAGCAAUCAUACAGAUGUGCGAAGUUCCAAAGGAACACUUGCAAUCAAGGAUUGCAUAAUGGAAGGUAUCAACAAAAAUAACAUCCUAUGUUAUUACAUGCAUUCAUAUUCAUCAUUUUUAGAUCACAAAUCUCAUUGAUUUCCAAACAUUAGCUCAUUCAUUAACUUUCCAAAUACAAUCCAAUUUUAACAUGAUUAUUAAAUCUUAUUCCAUUCAUUUUUUACAUUUUAAGAAAGCCGACUCACGAGUACCGCUAUCUCUGGUCUCGGUCGGUAGGGCGCUAUACUAUGGAGUACGCCCUCGCCUCGGCGCGCGCGCUCACGUGUGAACCUAACCCCCAAACCGUGGGGUGAGACAAACUCCAUGGUUCCCAGUGGGGGUACGGCCACCCAAGGAAAGCUGACAAUAGUCCAAGGGAGGCAACUGCAAGUUAGUUCAAUAACAGGAUGAUAUAUAUCUUUAUUAUGCAACUAAUAAACCAUUGCUUUGCUCACGAAUGAUAUAAUGCCAUGCUAUAUACGAUAUGCACUAUUACAAGGUAGAAUGAUUGAUUUUACUUUGUUCAUGCUAUCCAUAGCUUUUUCAUAAUUUAUACAUCUUAUCACUUUACAUCAUUGGUUAUUUGCUCCUAGGUUGUUCCUCUACCCUAGCCAAGCUAUCACCCACUCGGUCUCGAAGUCAAUCAACUGCGAGAAUACCCACCAAAACUAGGCUGGCGAGUGAUGGACGUUCUCACAUACACCUCAGCAAUAAAUCUCUCAUACUGAGUACCAAACUCGUAACAUAAUGCUAUACAUUCACUUGGCUUUGACCCAUCUUACGGUUAACCAUGUUAACCCCAAUGACUCACAACCCAAAUCCCUUAAUAACGGGGGACUCGACCUCCCUAGGGACCGUUUCUGGGGGGACUUUACACGCCCGUGUGACAUCCCGGGCGCACGCGAGAGGGGAGCUACCUGCCCUCAAGCCAAGACUUAUCGUGAGUAUCGAUCAAUCUCAACUUGAGGAUUCAUAGACCACUAGUCACAAUGCCAAGUACGCCAUAGGUUUCUACCUAUUUAAUCAUGCUACUCUAUGUCAAAUGGUCCAAUGCCACUCUUUGUUAAACUAUGUUUAACAACUAUAUCCUCUAUGCAUAUCAAUGUCUCUAUUGUCAAUCUUGCCUUUGUUUACUAAUGUCCAAGUCCAACUCUCACAUUCACACAAUAAUAGGGUUCUAACAUACAUGUCCAUUAUGGUUCGAUCUUUCUCUAUGUUCAACUACGUUAGAAACAUGUCAUUGAAAGUAACUAAGGUUCACAUGUACUUAGCCCUAUUAUGUAUGAAUGAUACAAAUAUAUAUGCUCAAUGCCACAAGUGUUUGCUAGGUUCAUGACACUAGGUUCACACUACACUUGUUCAACCUAUGUUCAAUACACUAGGUUUAAUGCCACUUGAUGUCCAACCUAUGUUCUUUGGCACUAGAUUCAUUUCCUCUAUGUCCAACCUAUGUCCAUGACUCUAGGUUUAAUGCCACUCGAUCUAAUGUAUAUAGAUUGUCCAUAUGCACAUUUCCAUUUCUUAACAUUAGUAUCUCUACAACAUGAUCAUCAAAUAUAUCUUAGCAUUAGCCACAUGCUUGUAUUUAUUAUUUCUACAUUAUGCUUAUCAUACCAUUACUUAGCAUUACUCAAUGCAUUCAUCUAGCACUAUUUACACUAAGUCAUCAUGCAUUCCUCUUAUCAUGUUCUUAUAAUGUUAACAUUCAUAUGCCCUUUAUCUUAUGCAUUCAAAGCAUUAAUCACAUACAUUUAUCUAGCAUUUCUAUAAUAUGUUAACAUGCAUCAAUAUGAAAUCUCAUUUCCUAGACAUAAAGGGCGACCUAGUCGCUUCGGUAAACACAACCCACCUCAUUUCGCGUUCCGAUUGCUUGUCGACACUUGCAAUCGGCCGCCCGCGGCACCCGGCACUCGGUUUGGCCCGAUCUCUUGCGCGACCACCCGAACGGCCUCCAAUUCACGAUCCGAAAAUUAAAGGUUUUCGGUUAUGUGCCACGAUGCUUCAAAUCCAUUUUCAUGAAUUUACGAUAUCGCCUCGGCCCUCCAGGCGAAAACGAAGCCUAAACAUCCGUUUCUUUAAUAACUUCGCAAUGGCUCGACAAAUCGCCGAACCGUCUUCGCCAACGCGUUCGUUUACCUAGCAAUUAGGUUUACGGAGGGUUAAAUGAGAUCAAACCCUCAUAUUUUACAAAACCCCAUUUUCUAAGCCUAAUAUGAAUUAAUCUCCAAAUAAUCCAAAUUAAAUAGAGCAAACAUGUUUAGAAUGCUCAUUAGAGGCUAUUAGAACACUUAGAACUAAGGAUUAAGCCAAAUCCUAAAAGCUUACCUCAAUGUGAACGCCGCGACGAAAACACACCGCUCCAACGGGCGCACGAAAGCUCAAUCCGUCGCCUCCAACGCGUUCGCAAGCAUCUUCUCCACCAACCCCGCGAAUUUGAGAGAGAGAUAUGGAGAGAUGAGAGAGAAAUCUAGAGAGAGGAAUGAAGGUUUCUCUCACUAGCACCAUGCGUGCGUGUGUGUGGGUGCUCGGGCUGAAGGAGAGGAAGAAAGAAGCUUCAGCUUCUUUAUAAUACACCCGACACUAUUCACUCCCGGCAGCUUGAAAUCUGAUAACUUUCGCCGGAGCUCCCUGAAUGUCCGUUUGAGCUCAAACUUGACAGUCAUGUUCAGUUUUACUUAACUUAACAAGCUAACGAUCACUGGUUCAGUUUCGACCCCGUUUGGUCACUGAAAACUGUACCGAACUGCAAUUUUUAUCAGAUAGCUUUCGGAUUUUAUUUCUCACUCUAUGGGUGUCAGAAAAAUAUGAAACUUUAAAUCUAACCUCAUAAAAAUAUUUCUGACAUCUCUGCCAAUUUUCAAAAUUUUCUGAGACUGUGCAUUUUUUGCUAAUUUAUCUGCCCUGUUUCCAACAGAAAAUUUUAAAUCUUCUGUUUUAAUUCCGAUUUCAGCACAAGUCACUUCUGACUUAUGUUUUACUUCUAUAAAUCCAAUAAAAAUAGUUUUCCAUACUAUUUUUAUUUAUUUUUAUUUUUAUACCAAAAUCUGGUAUGUUACAGAUUUCCCAUCAAUACAUCUCCACCUUCAAUAGACUUGUACGUCGAGAACCAUUCUCUAUG